AGAGUUUGAUCCUGGCUCAGGACGAACGCUGGCGGCGUGCCUAAUACAUGCAAGUCGAGCGAACCACUUCGGUGGUUAGCGGCGGACGGGUGAGUAACACGUGGGCAACCUGCCUGUAAGACUGGGAUAACACCGGGAAACCGGUGCUAAUACCGGAUAAUCCUUUUCCUCUCAUGAGGGAAAGCUGAAAGACGGUUUCGGCUGUCACUUACAGAUGGGCCCGCGGCGCAUUAGCUAGUUGGUGAGGUAACGGCUCACCAAGGCGACGAUGCGUAGCCGACCUGAGAGGGUGAUCGGCCACACUGGGACUGAGACACGGCCCAGACUCCUACGGGAGGCAGCGGUAGGGAAUCUUCCACAAUGGACGAAAGUCUGAUGGAGCAACGCCGCGUGAGCGAUGAAGGCCUUCGGGUCGUAAAGCUCUGUUGUUAGGGAAGAACAAGUAUCGGAGUAACUGCCGGUACCUUGACGGUACCUAACCAGAAAGCCACGGCUAACUACGUGCCAGCAGCCGCGGUAAUACGUAGGUGGCAAGCGUUGUCCGGAAUUAUUGGGCGUAAAGCGCGCGCAGGCGGUCCUUUAAGUCUGAUGUGAAAGCCCACGGCUCAACCGUGGAGGGUCAUUGGAAACUGGGGGACUUGAGUGCAGAAGAGGAAAGCGGAAUUCCACGUGUAGCGGUGAAAUGCGUAGAGAUGUGGAGGAACACCAGUGGCGAAGGCGGCUUUCUGGUCUGUAACUGACGCUGAGGCGCGAAAGCGUGGGGAGCAAACAGGAUUAGAUACCCUGGUAGUCCACGCCGUAAACGAUGAGUGCUAAGUGUUAGGGGGUUUCCGCCCCUUAGUGCUGCAGCUAACGCAUUAAGCACUCCGCCUGGGAGUACGGCCGCAAGGCUGAAACUCAAAUGAAUUGACGG
RNAcentral lists this ribosomal RNA (913 nucleotides) under uncultured bacterium. Its description in RNAcentral is "bacterial SSU rRNA". It matches the Rfam family "Bacterial small subunit ribosomal RNA", at positions 8 to 916 of the family's 1533-position model. The record is from RNAcentral.